Molecule: transfer RNA, 73 nt
Filed under: Canis lupus familiaris (dog)
Lineage: Eukaryota; Metazoa; Chordata; Mammalia; Carnivora; Canidae
Rfam family: tRNA
About the family: Transfer RNA (tRNA) molecules are approximately 80 nucleotides in length. Their secondary structure includes four short double-helical elements and three loops (D, anti-codon, and T loops).
Source: Rfam by way of RNAcentral
ACCUAACUGGCUCAGUUGGAAGAGCACGGGACUCUUGAUCUUGGGGUCAUGAGUUCAACCCCCAAGUUGAGUG